RNAcentral lists this long non-coding RNA (564 nucleotides) under Pan troglodytes (chimpanzee). RNAcentral's name for it is "lncRNA (ENSPTRG00000053147.1)". The record is from RNAcentral. Lineage: Eukaryota; Metazoa; Chordata; Mammalia; Primates; Hominidae.
AAAAAUUAUGUAAGAUUCUCAUAAAGAGAAUAUUCCAGCACUAGCUGUUGCUGGCUCAUUCUUUUGAGCAGCCCGCUCUGUCUCAUCUUUCAGAGUGUGUACUCUCUCUUUAAAUGAACACUACUACGACUACUAUUACUACUACCACUACUACUACUACUAAUAUUCCAACUGGACCUGCCUGGGGCUGUUUUCCACUCCUCUCUAGGAAGGUACUUAUCUACCUUCAAUAAACUCUGCUACCUAACCAUUGCUAUGCAUCUAUUGUCUGAAUUCUAUCUUUCAAGUUAGGCAAGAACCAAGGAUUACCACACUUCCUGGUCACAUACUGUGGUGCUGUGGCUCAGACGGCCUUUCCUGUGAACUUUUCUCCGAGAACCAAAGGGAAAAAAACUCUCGAAUUCAAGAAAAAAUGUAUCAUUGAUGAGUUGCAAAAGUGAGAAUGCCUGAACACUUCUCAACAGCUCCUUCUUCAACUGACCUGAAAUCCAGCACUGCCAAGCUGAGAUCUGCAGCCAGCACUCAAGUGGGAGAGGAGCCCACACAGAACACUAAGAGGGAGAA